GACGAACGCUGGCGGCGCGCCUAACACAUGCAAGUCGAACGAGAGAUGAGGAGCUUGCUCUUCAAAUCGAGUGGCGAACGGGUGAGUAACGCGUGAGGAACCUGCCUCAAAGAGGGGGACAACAGUUGGAAACGACUGCUAAUACCGCAUAAGCCCACAGCUCGGCAUCGAGCAGAGGGAAAAGGAGCGAUCCGCUUUGAGAUGGCCUCGCGUCCGAUUAGCUGGUUGGUGAGGUAACGGCCCACCAAGGCGACGAUCGGUAGCCGGACUGAGAGGUUGAACGGCCACAUUGGGACUGAGACACGGCCCAGACUCCUACGGGAGGCAGCAGUGGGGAAUAUUGCACAAUGGGGGAAACCUUGAUGCAGCGACGCCGCGUGGAGGAAGAAGGUCUUCGGAUUGUAAACUCCUGUUGUUGAGGAAGAUAAUGACGGUACUCAACAAGGAAGUGACGGCUAACUACGUG
RNAcentral lists this ribosomal RNA (466 nucleotides) under uncultured bacterium. RNAcentral's name for it is "bacterial SSU rRNA". It matches the Rfam family "Bacterial small subunit ribosomal RNA", at positions 28 to 507 of the family's 1533-position model. The record is from RNAcentral.